Molecule: small nucleolar RNA, 135 nt
Filed under: Bubo bubo (Eurasian eagle-owl)
Lineage: Eukaryota; Metazoa; Chordata; Aves; Strigiformes; Strigidae
Description: Small nucleolar RNA SNORA13 (ENSBOBG00000014565.1)
Rfam family: Small nucleolar RNA SNORA13
About the family: ACA13 is a member of the H/ACA class of snoRNA that guide the sites of modification of uridines to pseudouridines.
Source: Rfam by way of RNAcentral
UGCCUUUGUGUUGCCCAUUCAUUUCCAUCCAGAAUGAAUGUGGUGUCAAAAAAGGCAAACAGAAAUUCUUGCUCAGACAGCUUCUGAAGGAGCUGGUUAUUUAUCUUUCUCCUCCCUGUUUCUGCAAGGACAAAA